GACGAACGCUGGCGGCGUGCUUAACACAUGCAAGUCGUACGGUAAGGCCCUUUCGGGGGUACCCGAGUGGCGCACGGGUGAGUAACACGUGAGUAACCUGCCCACAACUUUGGGAUAACGCUAGGAAACUGGUGCUAAUACUGGAUAUGUGCUCCUGCUGCAUGGUGGGGGUUGGAAAGCUCCGGCGGUUGUGGAUGGACUCGCGGCCUAUCAGCUUGUUGGUGGGGUAGUGGCCUACCAAGGCGGCGACGGGUAGCCGGCCUGAGAGGGUGACCGGCCACAUUGGGACUGAGAUACGGCCCAGACUCCGACGGGAGGCAGCAGUGGGGAAUAUUGCACAAUGGGCGCAAGCCUGAUGCAGCAACGCCGCGUGCGGGAUGACGGCCUUCGGGUUGUAAACCGCUUUCAGCAGGGACGAAGCUUUUUGUGACGGUACCUGCAGAAGAAGCACCGGCUAACUACGUG
RNAcentral lists this ribosomal RNA (465 nucleotides) under uncultured bacterium. RNAcentral's name for it is "partial 16S ribosomal RNA". It matches the Rfam family "Bacterial small subunit ribosomal RNA", at positions 28 to 507 of the family's 1533-position model. The record is from RNAcentral.